This 105-nucleotide non-coding RNA is filed under the name human gut metagenome. RNAcentral describes it as "FMN riboswitch (RFN element)". It matches the Rfam family "FMN riboswitch aptamer (RFN element)". Rfam says of the family: The RFN element is a highly conserved domain that is found frequently in the 5'-untranslated regions of prokaryotic mRNAs that encode for flavin mononucleotide (FMN) biosynthesis and transport proteins. This element is a metabolite-dependent riboswitch that directly binds FMN in the absence of proteins. The record is from RNAcentral.
CUUCAGGGCAGGGUGAAAUUCCCGACCGGCGGUAAAGUCCGCGAGCGCUUCGGCGCAUGAUUCGGUGAGAUUCCGAGACCGACAGUAGAGUCUGGAUGGAAGAAG